GACGAACGCUGGCGGCGUGCUUAACACAUGCAAGUCGAGCGGUAAGGCCUUUCGGGGUACACGAGCGGCGAACGGGUGAGUAACACGUGGGUGAUCUGCCCUGCACUUCGGGAUAAGCCUGGGAAACUGGUCUAAUACCGGAUAUGACCUCCUAUCGCAUGGUGGGUGGUGGAAAGAUUUAUCGGUGCAGGAUGGGCCCGCGGCCUAUCAGCUUGUUGGUGGGGUAAUGGCCUACCAAGGCGACGACGGGUAGCCGACCUGAGAGGGUGACCGGCCACACUGGGACUGAGACACGGCCCAGACUCCUACGGGAGGCAGCAGUGGGGAAUAUUGCACAAUGGGCGAAAGCCUGAUGCAGCGACGCCGCGUGAGGGAUGACGGCCUUCGGGUUGUAAACCUCUUUCAGCAGGGACGAAGCGCAAGUGACGGUACCUGCAGAAGAAGCACCGGCUAACUACGUG
Molecule: ribosomal RNA, 461 nt
Filed under: uncultured bacterium
Lineage: Bacteria
Description: partial 16S ribosomal RNA
Rfam family: Bacterial small subunit ribosomal RNA
Source: RNAcentral